AGGAGAGAGAUUGUGAAGUCAGUGACCAAACCCCUGACUACAUUGAACCACUGGUGCUGUUUGGAUCCCAUGGCUUGGUGCGCCUAAGGUCAUAGUGUACAGACGACUGACCAGAGAGUAGCACCCUGAGAGCUUCUGUUGAAAUGCCCUGCUGUUGCCGGAAUGCUGCCGCCCGGGCUUUGAUUUCCUGCCGAGAGACAAGAGCAUCCGUUCAUUUAUUAAAAUCUUUACACGCUUGGCUUUCCAUCUGACAACAGGUCUCCAAGGAACUGACUGGAACACUGGAUGAUGACUCUAUCUACCUGUGGUCUUCACCCAAGGCAGCACCAGGUCAGGCAAGGGGUUAUAUAACACAGAGAAGUGUUCUUGAGGCAGUGUGAAAAUAGGAUUAAUGGCCUCUGGGUGGCAGAUACCAUUAAGAAAAUUGAAACAAGGAGGCUUUGGGAAAUGGGGCUUGUGGAUUCUGUAAAAAAGAGGUGGGACACACCUCUCUUCU
Molecule: non-coding RNA, 496 nt
Organism: Podarcis muralis (Common wall lizard)
Lineage: Eukaryota; Metazoa; Chordata; Lepidosauria; Squamata; Lacertidae
Source: RefSeq, a predicted model, not a curated record